RNAcentral lists this unclassified non-coding RNA (330 nucleotides) under uncultured Bartonella sp. Its description in RNAcentral is "partial 16S-23S ribosomal RNA intergenic spacer". Lineage: Bacteria; Pseudomonadati; Pseudomonadota; Alphaproteobacteria; Hyphomicrobiales; Bartonellaceae. The record is from RNAcentral.
UUGAUAAGCGUGGAGGUCGGAGGUUCAAGUCCUCCCAGGCCCACCAAUUUAUGCUCGUUUUUUGCUUAUCCAAGAGUAUAAAGCUUAAGCGUAUUAAAGCCUCUUCAAUCUUUGUUUAUUUUUAAAGAUUUUAUUUUAUCAUUCAGAGAUUGUUUGUUAAAUUUAUCCCAUUAAGCUUCCAAAGAGGCUUUGUCCCUUCAGUGGUACAGAUAAAUUUACAUGAUACAAAUCAAAACAGGACAGGUAAUUCAAAUUGGUGAAUUUGGUUAUGGUUGAUUUGAGAGAGCAUUGUUUAGGGGCCGUAGCUCAGCUGGGAGAGCACCUGCUUUG